CGCCCUUCAGAGGGGGACGAACAUUGGAAACGACUGCUAAUACCGCAUACGAUCUGACCUCGGCAUCGAGGAUAGAUGAAAGGUGGCCUCUAUUUAUAAGCUAUCACUGAAGGAGGGGAUUGCGUCUGAUUAGCUAGUUGGAGGGGUAACGGCCCACCAAGGCGAUGAUCAGUAGCCGGUCUGAGAGGAUGAACGGCCACAUUGGGACUGAGACACGGCCCAG
This 223-nucleotide ribosomal RNA is filed under the name uncultured bacterium. RNAcentral's name for it is "partial 16S ribosomal RNA". It matches the Rfam family "Bacterial small subunit ribosomal RNA", at positions 127 to 334 of the family's 1533-position model. The record is from RNAcentral.